Molecule: transfer RNA, 83 nt
Organism: Termitomyces sp. J132
Lineage: Eukaryota; Fungi; Basidiomycota; Agaricomycetes; Agaricales; Lyophyllaceae
Rfam family: tRNA
About the family: Transfer RNA (tRNA) molecules are approximately 80 nucleotides in length. Their secondary structure includes four short double-helical elements and three loops (D, anti-codon, and T loops).
Source: Rfam
GCCCCUGUUGUCUAAUGGUUAUGACGUCAGACUUCUAUAAUAUUCUCAUCUGGAGGUUGCGGGUUCGAGUCCCGCCAGGGGUU